CCUUUGGGUUGGUUCUGUGAAAUAGCUGUGGACCACUUCUCUAUUUUUUUUACCCCUUAGGUAGGGAGAGCUGUUUUCUGUUGCUAGAAACCAAAGAACCCUCUCGUACCUAAGGGCUUUGGAGUUAUCUGACCCUAACUCUACUACUUUCUGCCUCUGUGAGUGGAAAAUUACUUAACUUCUCUAAGCUUCAGUUUCCUCUCUUGUAAAAUGGGGAUGUUAAUGUCAGUUUAGAGGGUAUAGAUGAUAUUUAUAUGGCCACUGGCCCUAGACCCUCAACUAAAGGCAGCAACUAUUGUGGACCAAAUUUUAAUCAUCUUUGUUUUACUAGUGAUGACUUUCCACUUAUUAAAUAUCUGUGGAGUGAAUAAAUGAACCCACAUGACAAUGUGGAUUUUCACGAUGAAAACCCACAGCUGAGUAUCUUAGACAGUUACAACCCCUUGGGUAUCAAACAUGUGAUUUAUUGUUCAAAAAGUUAAUAUGAGAAAAUCUCCAUGACCUGGGUUAGGCAAAAGAGUGCUUACUAAUGAUAAUAAAACCAUAAUCCCUAAAAGAAAAAAUUGAUACACUGGACAUCCUCCAAAUUAGAAACUUCUGCCCCAUGAAAGAUAAUGUUAAGAGAAUAAAAAGACAACCUAGAGACUGGGAGAAAUAUUUUGCAAAUCGCACAUCCAACAAAGGACUUGUAUCUAGAGUAUAUAAAACCUGAAAAACACACAACCUAAUUUAAAAAUGAGCAAAAGACUUAAACAGAUGUAUCACCAAAGAGGACAUACAGAGGGCAAAGAAGUGCACUGAAAGAUGCUCCGCAUCAUUAGUCAUUAGGGAAAAGCAAAUUAAAGUCAUGAUGAGAUACAACCACAUACGAUCAGAAUGGCUAAAAUCAAAAUACUGACAAUACCAAGGGCUGACAAGGAUGCAGAACAACUGGACCUCUCCCACAUUGCUGGUGGGAAUGGAAAAUGGCUCAAGUACUCUGGAAGACAAUUUGAUCAUUUUUUAUAAAGUUAAACCUCCACAUACCACAUGGCCCAACAAUCCUGCUCCUGAGAAAUGAAGUGAAAACUUAUGUUCACGCGAAACCCGUACACAUCUUUGUAGCAGCUCUAUUCAUAAUCAUUCCAAGCUGGAAACAGCUCCGAUGUCCUUCAGCAGUUGAGUGGAUAUACAAACUGUGGUACAUCCCUACAACGUCAGAAAACCCAGUAAUAAAAAGGAAUGAAGUAUUGAUGACACAACAAACUUGGACGAAUUGUAGAGGCAUUAUGCUGAGUGAAAGAAGCCAGUCUCAAAGGAUUGGGAAGUUUGGACAGCGCUGUCAUCGCUGGGGGGACACGGAGGAUUGAAAUUCUGAGGAGACCCUCCGGGGCCCAGGGACCCCUGAGAAUAAUUGGAGGCUGGGGAGGCCCCUGGAGCUGACGGAGGGAACAGCGGCUCCCCU
This 1444-nucleotide long non-coding RNA is filed under the name Equus caballus (horse). RNAcentral describes it as "lncRNA (ENSECAG00000046340.1)". The record is from RNAcentral. Lineage: Eukaryota; Metazoa; Chordata; Mammalia; Perissodactyla; Equidae.